This 119-nucleotide ribosomal RNA is filed under the name Hordeum vulgare subsp. vulgare (domesticated barley). Lineage: Eukaryota; Viridiplantae; Streptophyta; Magnoliopsida; Poales; Poaceae. The record is from RNAcentral.
GGAUGCCAUCAUACGACCACCAAAGCACCGGAUCCCAUUAGAACUCCGAAGUUAAGCGUGCUUGGGCGACCAUAGUACUAGGAUGCGUGACCUCCUGGGAAGUCCUCGUGUUACUUUUC